RNAcentral lists this ribosomal RNA (468 nucleotides) under uncultured bacterium. RNAcentral's name for it is "partial 16S ribosomal RNA". It matches the Rfam family "Bacterial small subunit ribosomal RNA", at positions 28 to 507 of the family's 1533-position model. The record is from RNAcentral.
GACGAACGCUGGCGGCGUGCUUAACACAUGCAAGUCGAACGGAAAGGCCCUGCUUUUGUGGGGUGCUCGAGUGGCGAACGGGUGAGUAACACGUGAGUAACCUGCCCUUGACUUUGGGAUAACUUCAGGAAACUGGGGCUAAUACCGGAUAGGAGCUCCUGCUGCAUGGGGGGGGUUGGAAAGAUUCGGCGGUUGGGGAUGGACUCGCGGCUUAUCAGCUUGUUGGUGGGGUAGUGGCUUACCAAGGGUUUGACGGGUAGCCGGCCUGAGAGGGUGACCGGCCACCUUGCGACUGCGAUACGGCCCAGACUCCUACGGGAGGCAGCAGUGGGGAAUAUUGCACAAUGGGCGGAAGCCUGAUGCAGCAACGCCGCGUGCGGGAUGACGGCCUUCGGGGUGUAAACCGCUUUCGCCUGUGACGAAGCGUGAGUGACGGUAAUGGGUAAAGAAGCACCGGCUAACUACGUG